RNAcentral lists this unclassified non-coding RNA (240 nucleotides) under Hevea brasiliensis (rubber tree). Lineage: Eukaryota; Viridiplantae; Streptophyta; Magnoliopsida; Malpighiales; Euphorbiaceae. The record is from RNAcentral.
AGUGAGAGCUUGGCAAAGAAGAGAUCUAGGCUAUCUGCUGCCUCAAAGCCUUCUGUUGUGGCGUAGAUUUUUCAUAUUGCUUUGAGUAAUGUUAUUUCUUAAAUAGGUUUGAGUUAAUUUUGAUUGGUCUUCAGAAUUUGGGAAUUAACUUAAAAUGUUUCUUGCAUUUAUAACAAUUUCAAACAUCUGCAAGUUUUGGUUUCAUUUUAAUAUGUCGUGGGAUUGUUAACCAUUUCAAAA